AGUCGAGCGGUACAUAUCUAGCUUGCUAGAUGCUGACGAGAGGAGGCCCGUUGAGUAACGCGUAUGAACCUGACCAGUAGUGGGGGAUAGCCCGGUGAAAACCGGAUUAAUACCGCAUACGCUCUACGGAGGAAAGGGGGCUUCGGCUCUCGCUAUUGGAUGGGCCUGCGUGAGAUUAGCUAGUUGGUGAGGUAAUGGCUCACCAAGGCGACGAUCUCUACCUGGUCUGAGAGGAUGAUCAGCCACACUGGGACUGAGACACGGCCCAGACUCCUACGGGAGGCAGCAGUGGGGAAUAUUGCACAAUGGGGGAAACCCUGAUGCAGCCAUGCCGCGUGUGUGAAGAAGGCUUUCGGGUAGAAAAACACUUUCCGUUGGGAGGAAAAGUCAGUCGCUAAUAUCGGCUAGCCUUGACGUUAGCAACAGAAGAAGCACCGGCUAACUCAGUGCCAGCAGCCGCGGUAAUACUGAGGGUGCAAGCGUUAAUCGAAAUUACUGGGCGUAAAGCGCGCGUAGGCUGCUUAUUAAUCCAGAUGUGAAAGCCCCGGGCUCAACCUGGGAACUGCAUUUGGAACUGAUUCGCUAGAGUACAGUAGAGGGUGGUGGAAUUUCCAGUGUAUCGGUGAAAUGCUUAGAGAUUGGAAGGAAAAUCAGUGGCGAAGGCGGCCCCCUGGACUGAUACUGACGCUGAAGUGCGAAAGCGUGGUGAGCAAAACGGAUUAGAUUCCCUGGUGGUUCCACGCCGCAACAAAUAUUUACUACCCCUUGGGAAACUUGGAUUCUUAAGGGAGAACCU
This 796-nucleotide ribosomal RNA is filed under the name uncultured Gammaproteobacteria bacterium. RNAcentral describes it as "bacterial SSU rRNA". It matches the Rfam family "Bacterial small subunit ribosomal RNA", at positions 60 to 853 of the family's 1533-position model. Lineage: Bacteria; Pseudomonadati; Pseudomonadota; Gammaproteobacteria. The record is from RNAcentral.